AACAGGAUUAGAUACCCUGGUAGUCCAUGCCGUAAACGUUGGGCACUAGGUGUGGGGGGCAUUCCACGUUCUCCGCGCCGUAGCUGACGCAUUAAGUGCCCCGCCUGGGGAGUACGGUCGCAAGGCUAAAGCUCAAAGGAAUUGACGGGGGCCCGCACAAGCGGCGGAGCAUGCGGAUUAAUUCGAUGCAACGCGAAGAACCUUACCAAGGCUUGACAUACACCAGACCGUUCUGGAAACAGUUCUUCCCCUUUGGGGUUGGCGUACAGGUGGUGCAUGGUUGUCGUCAGCUCGUGUCGUGAGAUGUUGGGUUAAGUCCCGCAACGAGCGCAACCCUCGUUCUAUGUUGCCAGCACGUGAUGGUGGGAACUCAUAGGAGACUGCCGGGGUCAACUCGGAGGAAGGUGGGGAUGACGUCAAAUCAUCAUGCCCUUUAUGUCUUGGGCUUCACGCAUGCUACAAUGGCCGGUACAGAGAGAGGCGAACCCGUGAGGGUGAGCGAAUCCCUUAAAGCCGGUCUCAGUUCGGAUCGUAGUCUGCAAUUCGACUACGUGAAGUCGGAGUCGCUAGUAAUCGCAGAUCAGCAACGCUGCGGUGAAUACGUUCCCGGGCCUUGUACACACCGCCCGUCAAGUCACGAAAGUCGGUAACACCCGAAGCCGGUGGCCCAACCCUUCUGAAGGGAGGGGGCCGUCUAAGGUGGGACUGGUGAUUGGGACUAAGUCGUAACAAGGUAACC
RNAcentral lists this ribosomal RNA (739 nucleotides) under uncultured bacterium. Its description in RNAcentral is "bacterial SSU rRNA". It matches the Rfam family "Bacterial small subunit ribosomal RNA", at positions 771 to 1501 of the family's 1533-position model. The record is from RNAcentral.